This 506-nucleotide ribosomal RNA is filed under the name uncultured bacterium. Its description in RNAcentral is "partial 16S ribosomal RNA". It matches the Rfam family "Bacterial small subunit ribosomal RNA", at positions 30 to 523 of the family's 1533-position model. The record is from RNAcentral.
AUUGAACGCUGGCGGCAGGCCUAACACAUGCAAGUCGGACGGUAGCACAGAGGAGCUUGCUCCCCGGGUGACGAGUGGCGGACGGGUGAGUAAUGUCUGGGAAACUGCCUGAUGGAGGGGGAUAACUACUGGAAACGGUAGCUAAUACCGCAUAACGUCGCAAGACCAAAGAGGGGGACCUUCGGGCCUCUUGCCAUCAGAUGUGCCCAGAUGGGAUUAGCUAGUAGGUGGGGUAACGGCUCACCUAGGCGACGAUCCCUAGCUGGUCUGAGAGGAUGACCAGCCAACCUGGAACUGAGACACGGUCCAGACUCCUACGGGAGGCAGAAGUGGGGAAUAUUGCACAAUGGGCGCAAGCCUGAUGCAGCCAUGCCGCGUGUAUGAAGAAGGCCUUCGGGUUGUAAAGUACUUUCAGCGGGGAGGAAGGUGUUGUGGUUAAUAACCGCAGCAAUUGACGUUACCCGCAGAAGAAGCACCGGCUAACUCCGUGCCAGCCGCCGCCGUAA